This is a long non-coding RNA of Haliotis rubra (blacklip abalone), 132 nucleotides long. RefSeq lists it as uncharacterized. The record is from RefSeq and is a predicted model, not a curated record. Lineage: Eukaryota; Metazoa; Mollusca; Gastropoda; Lepetellida; Haliotidae. The transcript has 3 exons.
AUGUACAUAAGCAGCAGCACUGUCACCCCUUUGUCCUGCAUGCCGGGGUGGAGGCAGUAAGUGAAAUCAUGAUCGGCCGGUCAUAAAAAUCAACAGUCUUUGAUGAGUUACAGGUCGUAGGUUGAUCAGGAA